UUAAGUAGAAAAGAGCGCACGGAGGAUGCCUUGGCACUAGGAGCCGAAGAAGGACGUGACAAACGACGAAACGCUACGGGGAGCUGUAAGUAAGCAAAGAUCCGUAGAUAUCCGAAUGGGGGAACCCACCGCUUUUAAAAGGGCGGUACGCGAAAGCGAGGUAACGCAGGGAACUGAAACAUCUAAGUACCUGUAGGAAGAGAAAGAAAAAUCGAUUUCCUAAGUAGCGGCGAGCGAAAGGGAAAGAGCCCAAACCAAUAUGCUUGCAUAUUGGGGUUGUAGGACUCUCAACAAAGCGUAUGACAAAGUAUAGUAGAACGAGCUGGAAAGUUAGACCGUAGAAGGUAAAAGUCCUGUAUACGAAAUGCUGAGUUGGCGUGAGAGAGCACCUGAGUACGGCGGAACACGAGGAAUUCCGUCGGAAUCUACCAGGACCAUCUGGUAAGGCUAAAUACUACCUAGUGACCGAUAGUGAACCAGUACCGUGAGGGAAAGGUGAAAAGAACCCCGGGAGGGGAGUGAAAGAGAACCUGAAACCGUGUGCUUACAAGUAGUCAGAGCCCUUUAGGGGGUGAUGGCGUGCCUUUUGUAGAAUGAACCGGCGAGUUACUUUAUCAUGCGAGGUUAAGUGGAAGACAUGGAGCCGAAGCGAAAGCGAGUCUUAAUAGGGCGAAAUAGUAUGAUGGAGUAGACCCGAAACCAAGUGAUCUACCCAUGGCCAGGUUGAAGUUUAGGUAACACUGAAUGGAGGACCGAACCAGGACACGUUGAAAAGUGUUUGGAUGAGCUGUGGGUAGCGGAGAAAUUCCAAUCGAACUUGGAAAUAGCUGGUUCUCUCCGAAAUAGCUUUAGGGCUAGCCUCGUUGUGAGUUUACUGGAGGUAGAGCACUGUUUGGACUAGGGGCCCAUCCCGGGUUACCGAAUUCAGACAAACUCCGAAUGCCAGAUAAAUAUCAACGGGAGUCAGACUGCGGGUGAUAAGGUUCGUAGUCGAAAGGGAAACAGCCCAGACCGCCAGCUAAGGUCCCAAAUUGUAUGUUAAGUGGAAAAGGAUGUGAUGAUGCACAGACAACCAGGAUGUUGGCUUAGAAGCAGCCACCAUUUAAAGAGUGCGUAAUAGCUCACUGGUCGAGUGACAUCGCGCCGAAAAUGUACCGGGGCUAAACAUACAACCGAAGCUGCGGAUAUAACUAAUGUUAUAUGGUAGGAGAGCGUUCUAACAUCAUAGAAGCCGAACUGGAAGGUGAGGUGGAGAGGUUAGAAGUGAGAAUGCCGGUGUGAGUAGCGAAAGAUAGGUGAGAAUCCUAUCCACCGAAAGACUAAGGUUUCCAGAGGAAGGCUCGUCCGCUCUGGGUAAGUCGGGACCUAAGGUGAAGCCGAUAGGUGAAGCCGAUGGACAACAGGUAGAAAUUCCUGUACCACCGAAUAUCGAUUGAGAGAAGUGGGGACAGAGGAGGCUAAUUGAUCGCCCUGAUGGAAUAGGGCGUCUAAGCACAAAGACUGACAAGUAGGCAAAUCCGCUUGUUGUAAAGGUUGAAGUGUGAUGGGGAGCGAAAUAUAGUAGCGAAGUCAAUGAAGCCAAACUCUCAAGAAAAGCCGCUAUCGAGAUAAGAGGUGCCCGUACCGCAAACCGACACAGGUAGUUGGGAAGAGAAUUCUAAGGUGAGCGAGAGAACCAUCGUUAAGGAACUCGGCAAAAUGACCCCGUAACUUCGGGAGAAGGGGUGCCUACGAGAGUAGGCCGCAGUGAAUAGGCCCAAGCGACUGUUUAUCAAAAACACAGGUCUCUGCAAAACCGAAAGGUGAAGUAUAGGGGCUGACGCCUGCCCGGUGCUGGAAGGUUAAGAGGAGUGCUUAGCGCAAGCGAAGGUAUGAAUUGAAGCCCCAGUAAACGGCGGCCGUAACUAUAACGGUCCUAAGGUAGCGAAAUUCCUUGUCGGGUAAGUUCCGACCCGCACGAAAGGCGUAACGAUUUGGGCACUGUCUCAACGAUGGACUCGGUGAAAUCAUAGUACCUGUGAAGAUGCAGGUUACCCGCGACAGGACGGAAAGACCCCAUGGAGCUUUACUGUAGCUUGAUAUUGAAUUUUGAUGCAGUAUGUACAGGAUAGGUAGGAGCCUAAGAAUCAUGCACGCCAGUGUAUGAGGAGGCGUUGUUGGGAUACUACCCUUGCUGUAUUGAAAUUCUAACCCUCGGCAUAGAAAACCGGGAGACAGUGUCAGGUGGGCAGUUUGACUGGGGCGGUCGCCUCCUAAAGAGUAACGGAGGCGUUCAAAGGU
This 2280-nucleotide ribosomal RNA is filed under the name human metagenome. RNAcentral's name for it is "bacterial LSU rRNA". It matches the Rfam family "Bacterial large subunit ribosomal RNA", at positions 1 to 2317 of the family's 2925-position model. The record is from RNAcentral.